UAGCAGAAUAUUUACUAACAAAAGUUGGCCUUAAAUCUGUUCUAUAAACAAGCAACAUCCCACAUAAAAAUUUGUUCUCCAAGUGAGGUGUUUUUUUGGCUGGUUAUCUAAACUAAAUGAUUAAUGAUCUACGGAUCUACACAAAAAUUUGAAUCUAUGGUUGCUCAUGGUUAUGACAGUUACGCAAGAGAACUGCCAUUAUUUUCAGUCCAACUUGACGUACAGAAAUCAGGAAACAGGUCAUUUGCCUUGAAUUGCAUGAUCAGCAUUAACAAAGCAGUAGGUUGAAUGGUGCAAAAUUACAAAUAAAAAGACCAAUUUAGAGGAAUUGGCAUUUCUCCAUCAAGGAAG
This 351-nucleotide unclassified non-coding RNA is filed under the name Hevea brasiliensis (rubber tree). The record is from RNAcentral. Lineage: Eukaryota; Viridiplantae; Streptophyta; Magnoliopsida; Malpighiales; Euphorbiaceae.